CCGGAGCGUGGGCCUGUGGCUGCCCCGGCCCCAGGCCUCGCCAGGGCCGCGUCCCGCGCACCGAGUCGCUCACGUGGCAGUGGCUCCCGGUCCUUCCUAUUGACCGGUUCCUGCUGCGAGCUAAGAAGUACGCUGAGAUUUAGGGACCCAGCACCAUCCCUCGGUGCUGCACUAAGAGCCAAGGACGGACACGUUUCCCCGACAGAGAGAGUCGGGGCGCAGGGCAGCGAGUCUCAGCCAGGCCCUGCCGCAGCACCCGGGGGUGCCAGCCUGCAGGUCCGCCCGGGGAGGCGUGCGAACGGGGGGAUUCACAAGAUGGACCCAGAGACGUAGGCGCGUUAACGCACCAGCUGGCUGGGCCCAGGGACCCCUGCCUCAGUGUGGACGAAACGGGUGCGCAUGACGUGGCGCCACUGCACCCAAACCGAGCUGCGGCAGGAUCAUAAAAAGACAUUAAGUGGAAAUAGGUUCAGUACUGAAUGCUAUAGAAGACUAUGGAAGAAAAUUUUGCCUCCUCUUCUCCCUACUUAAUUAGAAGAUGGACUGAAGUGAAAAUUUAUACAAAUCUUCAAGUUUUGAUGGAUGAGGGAUCAUUCAGCACUCAGAUUCAACCCUGUUCUCAGUGAAGCCAGUGACAGUUUCAACAUUUACUUAAGUGGAAGAAAGAAAGAAGACACUUUAUUGUUUAGCUUUAUUAAUCCUUUCUCAAGUCAUUCCAUGCCUCAUCCUGAAUGAUUUAUCUGUUGUGAAAUGCUAAACAUAAAUAAAUUACUCUUAAAAGCAAUCCUAAACCAUAUAUUUAAUGCCAUGACAAUUAAGCUAAAAUAGAAAAAAGAAAAUUAACAAAUGGAGAGAUUAGGCAAAGACAAAAUAUCUCACUAAAUGUUUUUGCUUCCUCAAAGAGAUUCAGAAUCCUGGAACAAGGAAACUAGGGCAUAAAAGUACACAAAACUGAAUGUACCCAAGAUUACAAAUGACGUUCCUUCUUGGCAUGAAAGACCAAAGAUUCUGCAGCAACAACACGCUGUGCAAGUAAUACAAAUUCUAUUUCACUGCAAGCCAGAAUGUGCUCAUUCCCAUAUAAAAUCAGCUGUUAGGCUGUCAGACAUUUUACUGGCUGCAGCCAAAGACUGACAGUCCUCUGUGUGCCAGACUAAGAUAUAUUAGACAAAAUAAGCCUGGUCAAUUCUGUGUUCAUUUGAAAUGCAAAGAUAAAUCCAGGUCAGAUACUACAGAUAGAGUUUGAAAUGAAGUAUUGUAUUUGCACAUUUGUAUUGUUCUACAAUCUUUGGUGCACAGUACUUAGUUCCCCAGUGAAGGAACAGCUAACUCAACUGAAGAUAUAGGACAGAUUCUCUGUUCUGCUUGGUUUCAGAGGCAAUGCGAGAACGCUAGUUAUAGUUCUCUGAUCUUGACACUGCUGGUCUAGAGACCAGCUCCAUCAGGUUAAUACUAAAUGUGUUUCCCAUGUGAA
This is a long non-coding RNA of Alligator mississippiensis (American alligator), 1474 nucleotides long. RefSeq lists it as uncharacterized. NCBI's taxonomy places the organism in Eukaryota, Metazoa, Chordata, Crocodylia, Alligatoridae. The transcript has 3 exons. The record is from RefSeq and is a predicted model, not a curated record.